Dioscorea cayenensis subsp. rotundata (Guinea yam) is the source of this 1165-nucleotide RNA transcript. It is a transcript of the gene named F-box/FBD/LRR-repeat protein At5g53840-like, with no coding region annotated. The record is from RefSeq and is a predicted model, not a curated record. The transcript is spliced from 3 exons. Lineage: Eukaryota; Viridiplantae; Streptophyta; Magnoliopsida; Dioscoreales; Dioscoreaceae.
AGUGUGGAUCAAUGCAGAUCUUUACACACACCAACAUUUGAAUUUUUCUUUUGCCAGAUUGACUUGCCUCAAAUUUUUUCCCUGACCUCUCUCAAAAUCCUUCACCUUGAACUUGUUGAGUGAGACUUGGAAGUUCUUAGCAAUUGUCUGGUCCUCAAAGAUCUGACGCUGAAAAACUACAAUAAGAAAGUUCAUCUUAGAGUUGUCACUAAGAAUUCACAUCUUGAGAACUUGCAUAUACAUGUGGAUGAUGAGACUUCAGAAACAGAGUUUUUAGUUUAUGCUCCCAAGCUCUUUUUUCUGGUAUGCCAAAAAGACUCAUUGAGGAUUUCUGCCAUGUUAAAGCUCUCAAAUUAAGCAAUUGGUUUAAUUAGGUACGGUGAAAUUCAACAUAGUUUUUUGUCAACGUAAAUAUGUUUUGGUUAACCAUAACAUCAUUCAUACUGCUUUGUUCUUCUUUUAUGAUAGUUUAUGGAUGACCCUUUGUUGGAUUUUUCCUUGACGAAAGCAUGUUGAAAAGAAUAUAAUUUCUUUGAGCUUUGAAUUCACUGGACUGACCAUCGAGAACUUGCAUCUUAAUCAUGCACACCACAUUUCAAAUUUCAACAUUGUGCACUACCUGUAACACUAAAUUUUGAUUUUCCAAUUUUUUAUUACUUUGAAACCUUUUCUGAUUGUGUUGUUUGAUGAAAUAAAGGUUACACUGGACAAUUGAUUUGUCAUAUUUAAUAUUGUAUUACCUUAUGGCAUCAUGUUUAUGUACCACUUGUUGUAUUGAAAACUUAGAUUAAUUUACCACUUUUUUAGCAAUUGCAUCAUUUAAAUCAACGUGGGAUUGGAAUUUUGUUUUUAAUAUAUGUUGCAUUUUUUAAAUCUUGUACUUAAUUUAUUUAGAUUUAUCUUUAUUGUCUAACUCGACUAAUGAAAUUCCUGAAUGCAGAAUUUAUCUGUUAGAGUUAAUAUUAAAUAUUGGCACUUCAGUUUCUAAUAUGGUAAGUGAGGUGGCAAUUAACACUAGAUUCAGUAAAUGUGAAGUCGCAGGGUUGGUCUGCAUCUUGUAAAAUUUCAUCAAUCUUGAAGUCAUCAUUCUCAUUGCUGUUGCAGAUGUUGAAAAUAUUGAAACUGAGUUUGAAGGUAUAUUGGAAGAUGAAGGCUUUGAUGAAAC